CCUCCCAAGUAGCUGGGAAUACAGGCACCUGCCACAACACUCAGCUAUUUUUUUGUAUUUACUUACUGUUCCUUUUCUUUCUAUCUGGUGACCUCUCACCCAGUGGGCAUUUCUAAUUGGGUAAAAACUAGAACUUGAUCCCGUCUUGCUUCACCAUUAACUGCGAAGUGCCUAUCAAAUGGCUAUUAAUAACUCAAUUUCUGCCUGGGUCAAAUCAGGUGAAGAA
This 226-nucleotide long non-coding RNA is filed under the name Pan troglodytes (chimpanzee). Its description in RNAcentral is "long non-coding RNA NONPTRT010365". Lineage: Eukaryota; Metazoa; Chordata; Mammalia; Primates; Hominidae. The record is from RNAcentral.